This 460-nucleotide ribosomal RNA is filed under the name Niveibacterium sp. Its description in RNAcentral is "bacterial SSU rRNA". It matches the Rfam family "Bacterial small subunit ribosomal RNA", at positions 391 to 842 of the family's 1533-position model. Lineage: Bacteria; Pseudomonadati; Pseudomonadota; Betaproteobacteria; Rhodocyclales; Rhodocyclaceae. The record is from RNAcentral.
GCCNUGCCGCGUGAGUGAAGAAGGCCUUCGGGUUGUAAAGCUCUUUCGGACAGAAAGAAAUCGGUCGGGUAAAUAAUCCGGCUGGAUGACGGUACUGUAAGAAGAAGCACCGGCUAACUACGUGCCAGCAGCCGCGGUAAUACGUAGGGUGCGAGCGUUAAUCGGAAUUACUGGGCGUAAAGCGUGCGCAGGCGGUUUUGUAAGACAGCUGUGAAAUCCCCGGGCUCAACCUGGGAACUGCGGUUGUGACUGCAAGACUUGAGUACGGCAGAGGGGGGUGGAAUUCCUGGUGUAGCAGUGAAAUGCGUAGAUAUCAGGAGGAACACCGAUGGCGAAGGCAGCCCCCUGGGCCUGUACUGACGCUCAUGCACGAAAGCGUGGGGAGCAAAGAGGAUUANAUAGCCUGGUAGGCGACGCCCUACCCGAUGUCGACUAAUUGUUCCGAUGGUAAAACCUUUGA